RNAcentral lists this ribosomal RNA (469 nucleotides) under uncultured bacterium. Its description in RNAcentral is "bacterial SSU rRNA". It matches the Rfam family "Bacterial small subunit ribosomal RNA", at positions 30 to 492 of the family's 1533-position model. The record is from RNAcentral.
AUUGAACGCUGGCGGCAUGCCUUACACAUGCAAGUCGAACGGCAGCACGGAAGCAAUCCUGGUGGCGAGUGGCGAACGGGUGAGUAAUAUAUCGGAACGUGCCCAGUCGUGGGGGAUAACGUAGCGAAAGCUACGCUAAUACCGCAUACGAUCUAUGGAUGAAAGCGGGGGAUCGCAAGACCUCGCGCGAUUGGAGCGGCCGAUAUCAGAUUAGGUAGUUGGUGAGGUAAAGGCUCACCAAGCCGACGAUCUGUAGCUGGUCUGAGAGGAUGAUCAGUCACACUGGAACUGAGACACGGUCCAGACUCCUACGGGAGGCAGCAGUGGGGAAUUUUUGGACAAUGGACGCAAGUCUGAUCCAGCCAUUCCGCGUGCAGGAUGAAGGCCCUCGGGUUGUAAACUGCUUUUGUACGGAACGAAAGGUUUGUCUUAAUACGAUGAGCUCAUGACGGUACCGUAAGAAUAAGCA